GCCAGGUGUGGUGACACGUGCCUGCAGUCCCAGCUGCUCGGGAGGCUGAGGCUGGAGGAUCGCUUGAGUCCAGGAGUUCUGGGCUGCAGUGCACUAUGCUGAUUGGGUGUCCACACUAAGUUCGGCAUCAAUAUGGUGACUUCCCGGGAGCGGGGGACCACCAGGUUGCCGAAGGAGGGGUAAACCUGCCCAGGUCAGAAACGGAGCAGGUCAAAACUCCCAUGCUGAUCAGUAGUGGGAUUGUGCCUGUGAAUAGCCACUGCCCUCCAGCCUGGGCAACAGAGGGAAACCCCAUCUCU
RNAcentral lists this signal recognition particle RNA (299 nucleotides) under Saimiri boliviensis boliviensis (Bolivian squirrel monkey). Its description in RNAcentral is "Metazoan signal recognition particle RNA (ENSSBOG00000011679.1)". It matches the Rfam family "Metazoan signal recognition particle RNA". From Rfam's summary of the family: The signal recognition particle (SRP) is a universally conserved ribonucleoprotein. It is involved in the co-translational targeting of proteins to membranes. The eukaryotic SRP consists of a 300-nucleotide 7S RNA and six proteins: SRPs 72, 68, 54, 19, 14, and 9. The record is from RNAcentral. Lineage: Eukaryota; Metazoa; Chordata; Mammalia; Primates; Cebidae.